Molecule: ribosomal RNA, 677 nt
Filed under: uncultured Actinomycetes bacterium
Lineage: Bacteria; Bacillati; Actinomycetota; Actinomycetes
Description: bacterial SSU rRNA
Rfam family: Bacterial small subunit ribosomal RNA
Source: RNAcentral
GUAGUCCACGCCGUAAACGGUGGGUACUAGGUGUGGGUUUCCUUCCUUGGGAUCCGUGCCGUAGCUAACGCAUUAAGUACCCCGCCUGGGGAGUACGGCCGCAAGGCUAAAACUCAAAGAAAUUGACGGGGGCCCGCACAAGCGGCGGAGCAUGUGGAUUAAUUCGAUGCAACGCGAAGAACCUUACCUGGGUUUGACAUGCACAGGACGACGGCAGAGAUGUCGUUUCCCUUGUGGCCUGUGUGCAGGUGGUGCAUGGCUGUCGUCAGCUCGUGUCGUGAGAUGUUGGGUUAAGUCCCGCAACGAGCGCAACCCUUGUCUCAUGUUGCCAGCACGUCAUGGUGGGGACUCGUGAGAGACUGCCGGGGUCAACUCGGAGGAAGGUGGGGAUGACGUCAAGUCAUCAUGCCCCUUAUGUCCAGGGCUUCACACAUGCUACAAUGGCCGGUACAAAGGGCUGCGAAGCCGCGAGGUGGAGCGAAUCCUUUAAAGCCGGUCUCAGUUCGGAUCGGGGUCUGCAACUCGACCCCGUGAAGUUGGAGUCGCUAGUAAUCGCAGAUCAGCAACGCUGCGGUGAAUACGUUCCCGGGCCUUGUACACACCGCCCGUCACGUCAUGAAGUCGGUAACACCCGAAGCCGGUGGCAUAACCCGUAAGGGAGGGAGCCGUCGAAGGUG